Molecule: ribosomal RNA, 774 nt
Filed under: uncultured Neocallimastigales
Lineage: Eukaryota; Fungi; Neocallimastigomycota; Neocallimastigomycetes; Neocallimastigales
Description: partial large subunit ribosomal RNA
Rfam family: Eukaryotic large subunit ribosomal RNA
Source: RNAcentral
UAUGUGAUCGUCUCUCGCAUAUCAAUAAGCGGAGGAAAAGAAACUAACAAGGAUUCCCCUAGUAACGGCGAGUGAAGCGGGAAGAGCUCAAAUUUGAAAUCUUAAAGGGUUUCCCUUUACGAAUUGUAGUUUAAAGAAGUGUUUUCUGUUGAGGUUUUGGUAAAAGUCCUUUGGAAUAGGACAUCAUAGAGGGUGAGAAUCCCGUAUUUGACCUUUACUUUCAACUUUGUGAUACACUUUCAAAGAGUCGGAUUGUUUGGGAAUGCAGUCCAAAAUGGGUGGUAAAUUUCAUCUAAAGCUAAAUAUUGGCGAGAGACCGAUAGCGAACAAGUACCGUGAGGGAAAGAUGAAAAGAACUUUGAAAAGAGAGUUAAACAGUACGUGAAAUUGUCAAAAGGGAAGCGUUUGACACCAGUGUUGUUUUUCUGAAAAUCAAUUAAAGAACUGUUUAUGCUAAGUUGUUUAGACUUUAUCAGCUAACUGUUUAGUUUUGAGCUUUUCUUUAAUGCACUUUUCAGUUAACAAGUCAACAUCAAUUUCUUUUGCUGUAAAAAAGCUUGAGGAAGGUGGCUUGAGAUUCGUCUUAAGUGUUUAUAGCCUCUUGCCUAUGCAGUCGGAGAGAUUGAGGUCUGCAGCGUAGAUCCUUCGGGGCUAAAUGCAUUUGUGCUAAGUUAUAGCAUUUCAUAGACAACUUGUUGACUAUGAUUUGUCUUGUAGCUUACUCGCUUAUGUUAUUUUACCUACGCUUAGGAUGUUGAAUCUGUGCGAGACUAC